This 18-nucleotide small nuclear RNA is filed under the name Arabidopsis thaliana (thale cress). RNAcentral's name for it is "snRNA_11486". The record is from RNAcentral. Lineage: Eukaryota; Viridiplantae; Streptophyta; Magnoliopsida; Brassicales; Brassicaceae.
UUGAGACUCUCUAUAGGG